UACCAGGCUAGGCCGGGGGAGGUAGGCGUUCCCCUGUAACUGAAGUCUAGAUGCAGGGCGACAGCUGGGGGCGGGAAAAGGUACGGCCCCAGUCCCGUCCUAAUAGCUAUUGAAGUCCUGUCCUCCGGGAUCGGGGGUGGUGUACCUGCUUCCAAAGGGAAGCAAGGGCACCUUUGCCACGGGAAAACCGCCAGGCCCGGAAGGGAGCAGCGGCACCGUGGACCUGCGAUGCUCGGAGGGGUGCGGGAUGGAGGCAGGGACGGGGAUGCUGUGGCCGUACCCCUACCCCACCCCAGUGGCCUGGUA
RNAcentral lists this signal recognition particle RNA (306 nucleotides) under Thermoplasmata archaeon. RNAcentral describes it as "signal recognition particle sRNA". It matches the Rfam family "Archaeal signal recognition particle RNA". The record is from RNAcentral. RNAcentral also lists the same sequence under 2 other names. Lineage: Archaea; Methanobacteriati; Thermoplasmatota; Thermoplasmata.